AGGGAACCACUGCUGUUAGAUAAGAAGUGAGUGACUGAGAUUUUUGAGUGACAAGUGACAAGAUGAAAAGAAAGAUGGAGAAUGCUCUUGAGGGACUUGUGGGGCUAUUCACACAUAUUAAGGAAUGUUUAGGGAAAGGUCAAAGGCGUCACAAAAUGGGUUGUAGGGAGGAAAAACAGGAUGCACUGUAGAGGAAGGAGGACAAAAAUUUCCAAUCAGUACACCUUAGGGGAUAAGGUCUGUGCCUGACCACCACAGCACAUUCUGUCUUCUUAAUUCCUGAUUUGUCUAUGCAGUGUUGAAACUGUGCUCUAUUUCUCAUGUGGGAGUGCACCAAGGUCUAGGCCAGUAGAUGCACAGACUGCUGUGCAGUAGAGAUCUGGCUGCCAGAGACCAAAACCACAUUCGAAGCACAUCAGGAGUAAACCAGUGACUGGGAGGAAAGAGUAUUAAAGUCUGAGACUGAAGUGGGUAAUGAAUCACAAAGCCUGGGAGUGGAGGUUUGGCAGGCUGAGGUCCCAUUUAAUGUCUGAGGGAUUAGCAUGACUGGGAUUGAUGUGUGUGAGAGGAGUGGGUGACUUCACUCAUCUGAUGGCCAGUGAACAACAGAAUGGUCUAUCCUAAGCAAAGGAGGAGAGCCACAUGCAGUGUAGGAGAAGCCAGUCCAGGCAGGGGUAUUGGAUGUGGCUGUGAGAUUGUGGGAGUCUUUGCGAAGCCAGUGGAUGAUGGUGUGUGCUUCCACUGGAGAACUGCAAUGCUUGUCAGCUCAAGAGCAGGAAUAGGGCUUUGUUCCCUGCUUAAGAAUGAUAAGAGAAAUGUUGGUGUUAACUGUGGGUGUUGCUAAUGACAGUGUGCACCCUGCCUGUGGAGCCAGCAGAGUCAUUUCCGGCAGCUGUGACAUCUUAGACUGCGAGGUGGUUUUCUGCCUCUUUCUCACUCAGCUAAUAGGAGGGUCGGUCUCAGCAUGCAUCGCAGCUAUCUCGUCCUCACUGCCUUCCUGGGACAACUGCUGGAUGCCGUGGGGCAGACCAUUGUCACCCAGCAAGAAGGAGAGGUCACAGUUGAGAAGAGAAAUACAUUCCAGACCACCUGCACAUACCAGACCUCCAACUUUAAUGGCUUGUUUUGGUACCAGCAGAAGAAAGGCCAGGCCCCACAACUGGUCACAUAUCACACAGCAGCAGGCCCCAAGCACAACGGCCGUUUCACCACGUGGCUGAACACCACCGGGAAAUACAGCCUCCUGCAGCUGUCAGAAGUCGAGCUCUCUGACAGCGCCUUGUACCUCUGUGCUGUGCAGGACACCCUGGUGCAGGGAGCUUCCUUGGCCGUGCAACAACCCCGGGGAGAGAGGAGUCUUGUCUCUGCAAGGCGGAGCUCUGGGGAAGGGGCCCUCAGCUCUCCCCUGGCAGUGCGACCUGGUGUAGGGAACCUGCUUUAGCAGGGGGUUGGACUCGAUGAUCUCUGGAGGUCCCUUCCAACCCCUACAGUUCUGUGAUUCUGUGAUGUCAGCUGAAGCCAUAGCUAGACUGAGAAUGGAAAUAGAAGGAACUACUGGCCAACUGCACUCCAUGCAAAACUUCCUCAGUAAUCUGUUUUAGAGCUGAUGUCUUUAGAUGUCAUUCCUGGUCAUCCAAAUGACAGCGAGGUGGUUCCGAGUAGCCGCGGAGCGGAGUUGGGGGCGGCUACGGGGAGGAGGUGCCGCG
Coturnix japonica (Japanese quail) is the source of this 1706-nucleotide non-coding RNA. Lineage: Eukaryota; Metazoa; Chordata; Aves; Galliformes; Phasianidae. The record is from the annotation of a RefSeq genome assembly.